Molecule: ribosomal RNA, 253 nt
Filed under: uncultured bacterium
Lineage: Bacteria
Description: partial 16S ribosomal RNA
Rfam family: Bacterial small subunit ribosomal RNA
Source: RNAcentral
UACGUAGGGUGCGAGCGUUAAUCGGAAUUACUGGGCGUAAAGCGUGCGCAGGCGGUUUUGUAAGCCAGAUGUGAAAGCCCCGGGCUUAACCUGGGAAUGGCAUUUGGGACUGCAAGGCUUGAGUGCGGCAGAGGAGACUGGAAUUCCUGGUGUAGCAGUGAAAUGCGUAGAUAUCAGGAGGAAUACCGAUGGCGAAGGCAGGUCUCUGGGCUGACACUGACGCCCAUGCACGAAAGCGUGGGGAGCAAACAGG